AAUAGAUACCCCGGUAGUCCACGCCGUAAACGAUGAGUGCUAAGUGUUGGGGGGUUUCCGCCCCUCAGUGCUGCAGCUAACGCAUUAAGCACUCCGCCUGGGGAGUACGGUCGCAAGACUGAAACUCAAAGGAAUUGACGGGGGCCCGCACAAGCGGUGGAGCAUGUGGUUUAAUUCGAAGCAACGCGAAGAACCUUACCAGGUCUUGACAUCCCGGUGACCACUAUGGAGACAUAGUUUCCCCUUCGGGGGCAACGGUGACAGGUGGUGCAUGGUUGUCGUCAGCUCGUGUCGUGAGAUGUUGGGUUAAGUCCCGCAACGAGCGCAACCCUUAUUCUUAGUUGCCAUCAUUCAGUUGGGCACUCUAAGGAGACUGCCGGUGAUAAACCGGAGGAAGGUGGGGAUGACGUCAAAUCAUCAUGCCCCUUAUGACCUGGGCUACACACGUGCUACAAUGGACGGUACAAACGGUUGCCAACCCGCGAGGGGGAGCUAAUCCGGAUAAAACCGUUCUCAGUUCGGAUUGUAGGCUGCAACUCGCCUACA
This 546-nucleotide ribosomal RNA is filed under the name uncultured bacterium. Its description in RNAcentral is "bacterial SSU rRNA". It matches the Rfam family "Bacterial small subunit ribosomal RNA", at positions 777 to 1320 of the family's 1533-position model. The record is from RNAcentral.